GCACGAUAACAACUUUUGAAGGAGCAGGAGCUAUUUCAACCGAGCUUGUAGUGAUAACAUCAUCGAGGGAAGAAAGAGUCACGGGAACUUCAAUUUCCAUAGACUGUAUCACAGAAGUUUCACCCUCGAAAGCUGGAAUGAUAACUUCAACAACCUCAGUAGCUGCUUCAGAAUUCAAUAAUUCUUCUGUUCGAGGAGCUUCGAGUGCUGGAGAAGGAAUGUCGAUAGUUCCACGUGCAGGAGAAGGCGUAUCAGCAGGUUGUUGACUUUUCUCGAUAGUGUCUAUGACUUUGGCUAAUUCAGACUACAAGUCAAAGUUUAUUUGUGUAUCCUCCAUCAAAGCAUCAAGGUGAGAAUUAAGAAAAGCCCAACUUACCUCUAUGUUGAAAUUUUCUUCAAGAACAUUAUAUUCCUUCUACAGAUCCUCAUAUUCCCUUUCCCACAUAGCAAGAUCAUUUUUCGCUACUUGAUG
RNAcentral lists this long non-coding RNA (472 nucleotides) under Nicotiana benthamiana. RNAcentral describes it as "long non-coding RNA (NBEN_LNC026305)". Lineage: Eukaryota; Viridiplantae; Streptophyta; Magnoliopsida; Solanales; Solanaceae. The record is from RNAcentral.